AUUGAACGCUGGCGGCAGGCCUAACACAUGCCAGUCGAGCGGAUGAAGGGAGCUUGCUCCUGGAUUCAGCGGCGGACGGGUGAGUAAUGCCUAGGAAUCUGCCUGGUAGUGGGGGAUAACGUCCGGAAACGGGCGCUAAUACCGCAUACGUCCUGAGGGAGAAAGUGGGGGAUCUUCGGACCUCACGCUAUCAGAUGAGCCUAGGUCGGAUUAGCUAGUUGGUGGGGUAAAGGCCUACCAAGGCGACGAUCCGUAACUGCUCUGAGAGGAUGAUCAGUCACACUGGAACUGAGACACGGUCCAGACUCCUACGGGAGGCAGCAGUGGGGAAUAUUGGACAAUGGGCGAAAGCCUGAUCCAGCCAUGCCGCGUGUGUGAAGAAGGUCUUCGGAUUGUAAAGCACUUUAAGUUGGGAGGAAGGGCAGUAAGUUAAUACCUUGCUGUCUUGACGUUACCAACAGAAUAAGCACCGGCUAACUUCGUG
Molecule: ribosomal RNA, 484 nt
Filed under: uncultured bacterium
Lineage: Bacteria
Description: partial 16S ribosomal RNA
Rfam family: Bacterial small subunit ribosomal RNA
Source: RNAcentral